CCUACGGGUGGCUGCAGUGAGGAAUAUUGGUCAAUGGGCGUAAGCCUGAACCAGCCAAGUCGCGUGAGGGAUGAAGGAUCUAUGGUUCGUAAACCUCUUUUAUAAGGGAAUAAAGUGCGGGACGUGUCCUGUUUUGUAUGUACCUUAUGAAUAAGGAUCGGCUAACUCCGUGCCAGCAGCCGCGGUAAUACGGAGGAUCCGAGCGUUAUCCGGAUUUAUUGGGUUUAAAGGGAGCGUAGAUGGGUUGUUAAGUCAGUUGUGAAAGUUUGCGGCUCAACCGUAAAAUUGCAAUUGAUACUGGCAGUCUUGAGUACAGUUGAGGUAGGCGGAAUUCGUGGUGUAGCGGUGAAAUGCUUAGAUAUCACGAAGAACCCCGAUUGCGAAGGCAGCUUACUAAACUGUGACUGACAUUGAUGCUCGAAAGUGUGGGUAUCAAAC
RNAcentral lists this ribosomal RNA (438 nucleotides) under uncultured bacterium. RNAcentral describes it as "bacterial SSU rRNA". It matches the Rfam family "Bacterial small subunit ribosomal RNA", at positions 338 to 773 of the family's 1533-position model. The record is from RNAcentral.